This is a long non-coding RNA of Macrosteles quadrilineatus (aster leafhopper), 782 nucleotides long. RefSeq lists it as uncharacterized. The record is from RefSeq and is a predicted model, not a curated record. The transcript is spliced from 3 exons. Lineage: Eukaryota; Metazoa; Arthropoda; Insecta; Hemiptera; Cicadellidae.
AUAAACUUAUUUGAUUUAGGUUCCCUGUUGCUGCGCCGAUCAUCGAGUUUCCCUCCAAUGUCAAUGAGGCAAGGCCUGCCUCCAAUGCCACAUUCAUUAACUGAGUUUGCGGCAAUACUUGAAAGACCGGAAUACAGCCAUUUGAAAGGGGUGCAGGGAAUAGAGGAUGCUGGUAACUUUUUCCCUGGUCUGAUAGGUGGCCAGAAAGAGGGCUGGACUGCAGCCGUAUAUAUCCCCGCGGCUGCAGAAUGAUCCCAUGCUGCAACAGACGACAAGGCUCCACAUGGAUGCAACAUUUAAGGUGUUGCCACAGGAGCUGAAUGCAUAUCAGUUGAUAACAGUCCAUGCUGAGUACAUGCAUGAACUGUUUCAUGUGGCAUACGCCAUAAUGUCUUUGAAAAGCCAAUCUGCCUACGUUAGGGUUCUCCGGUACAUCCGGGGGGAGAUCCCGAAUUGGAAUCCCCAAUUCAUAAUAUCAGAUUUUGAGACAGCGACGAGAAGCCCAACUGAUGGGCUGUUUUUUCCACUAUGCCCAGGUUAGAACCAUGUCUGAUCUCCGUGCUAAACUGGACAAGCUGGAGGCUGUCGAGGGACCCUCAAGGAUCGCCAUGACCGAGCUUACCAACCCUGCUGGCUACAUAAUCACGGCGGCACGGUUGCACAGUCAUGCUCAAUAUGGCACUAGCGUUAUUUUGGAGGUACUGGUGGGCAACAUAGUGAAGAUGGUUUUUUACCAAAGCGCUUCGGACAAACUAUCUCAGUCGUAUGUGGACGCGCUGGCU